CAGUCGCCGCGGUAAUACAGAGGGUGCGAGCGUUAAUCGGAUUUACUGGGCGUAAAGCGUGCGUAGGCGGCUUUUUAAGUCGGAUGUGAAAUCCCUGAGCUUAACUUAGGAAUUGCAUUCGAUACUGGGAAGCUAGAGUAUGGGAGAGGAUGGUAGAAUUCCAGGUGUAGCGGUGAAAUGCAUAGAGAUCUGGAGGAAUACCGAUGGCGAAGGCAGCCAUCUGGCCUAAUACUGACGCUGAGGUACGAAAGCAUGGGGAGCAAACAGGAUUAGAUACCCCUGUAGUCCCUGUCUCUUAUAC
This 301-nucleotide ribosomal RNA is filed under the name uncultured bacterium. RNAcentral's name for it is "partial 16S ribosomal RNA". It matches the Rfam family "Bacterial small subunit ribosomal RNA", at positions 509 to 807 of the family's 1533-position model. The record is from RNAcentral.